AACGAACGCUGGCGGCAUGCCUAACACAUGCAAGUCGAACGAGACCUUCGGGUCUAGUGGCGCACGGGUGCGUAACGCGUGGGAAGCUGCCCUUAGGUUCGGAAUAACUCUCCGAAAGGGGUGCUAAUACCGGAUAAUUUCUUCUGACCAAAGAUUUAUCGCCUUUGGAUGGGCACGCGUUGUUUUAGCUUGUUGGUAGGGUAAAAGCCUACCAAGGCGACGAUCCAUAGCUGGUCUGAGAGGAUGAUCAGCCACACUGGGACUGAGACACGGCCCAGACUCCUACGGGAGGCAGCAGUGGGGAAUAUUGGACAAUGGGCGAAAGCCUGAUCCAGCAAUGCCGCGUGAGUGAUGAAGGCCUUAGGGUUGUAAAGCUCUUUUACCCGGGAUGAUAAUGACAGUACCGGGAGAAUAAGCUCCGGCUAACUCCGUG
This 433-nucleotide ribosomal RNA is filed under the name uncultured bacterium. RNAcentral describes it as "partial 16S ribosomal RNA". It matches the Rfam family "Bacterial small subunit ribosomal RNA", at positions 29 to 507 of the family's 1533-position model. The record is from RNAcentral.